GUGGGGAAUAUUGGACAAUGGGCGAAAGCCUGAUCCAGCCAUGCCGCGUGUGUGAAGAAGGUCUUCGGAUUGUAAAGCACUUUAAGUUGGGAGGAAGGGUUGUACGUUAAUACCGUGCAAUUUUGACGUUACCGACAGAAUAAGCACCGGCUAACUUCGUGCCAGCAGCCGCGGUAAUACGAAGGGUGCAAGCGUUAAUCGGAAUUACUGGGCGUAAAGCGCGCGUAGGUGGUUCAGUAAGUUGGAAGUGAAAUCCCCGGGCUCAACCUGGGAACUGCUUUGAAAACUGCUGAGCUAGAGUACGGUAGAGGGUAGUGGAAUUUCCUGUGUAGCGGUGAAAUGCGUAGAUAUAGGAAGGAACACCAGUGGCGAAGGCGACUACCUGGACUGAUACUGACACUGAGGUGCGAAAGCAUGGGGAGCAAACAGGAUUAGAAACCCCUGUAGUCC
This 450-nucleotide ribosomal RNA is filed under the name uncultured bacterium. RNAcentral describes it as "bacterial SSU rRNA". It matches the Rfam family "Bacterial small subunit ribosomal RNA", at positions 354 to 796 of the family's 1533-position model. The record is from RNAcentral.